Molecule: ribosomal RNA, 403 nt
Filed under: uncultured bacterium
Lineage: Bacteria
Description: bacterial SSU rRNA
Rfam family: Bacterial small subunit ribosomal RNA
Source: RNAcentral
GUCGGGAAUUUUGGGCAACGGGCGAAAGCCUGACCCAGCAACGCCGCGUGAGGGAUGAAGUAUUUCGGUAUGUAAACCUCGAAAGAAUGGGAAGAAUAAAUGACGGUACCAUUUAUAAGCUCCGGCUAACUACGUGCCAGCAGCCGCGGUAAUACGUAGGGAGCAAGCGUUGUUCGGAUUUACUGGGCGUAAAGGGCGCGUAGGCGGCGCGGUAAGUCACUUGUGAAAUCUCUGAGCUUAACUCAGAACGGCCAAGUGAUACUGCUGUGCUAGAGUGCGGAAGAGGCAACCGGAAUUCUUGGUGUAGCGGUGAAAUGCGUAGAUAUCAAGAGGAACACCUGAGGCGAAGGCGGGUUGCUGGGCCGACACUGACGCUGAUGCGCGAAAGCCAGGGGAGCAAACG